This is a long non-coding RNA of Rhagoletis zephyria (snowberry fruit fly), 248 nucleotides long. RefSeq lists it as uncharacterized. NCBI's taxonomy places the organism in Eukaryota, Metazoa, Arthropoda, Insecta, Diptera, Tephritidae. The record is from RefSeq and is a predicted model, not a curated record.
AGUAAGGCUUCUUUGGAAACAAAUACUCUAUGUACGUAACAGCGCGGUAAGCUGCCGCUUGAACUAGCACUUGGCGACCUUAUCCACUAGUGCAUUACCUCAUAACAGCACUACAAAUAUUAUUUUCAAUAUAAUCACUAGUAAAGUGCUUCAUGCACACAUAUGUAGCUCGAUUUGGUGUUUAAUGCAUCUCCUCGCCGGCAGAACUGCUUUUACUUUUUCGCCAGAUGUGCAUCCGUAGGAAACGA